AAACUAUUGGUUCAUACCACACUGUGAGUUAAGUGUCAGAAAAGGAACCAGUGGGCAAAGUAUUUCCUUCGAUUGGCACAACAACACGAGUUGAUGUAGGUGGGCUUACUGACCAUCCACACAGGGAGUGCCACCAAAGAGGCUGCGGUGUGUGGUUGGCUAAUUAGCCACCAAGUCCAAAAACAGACUUAAUCAUAACCUUCUAUGUUUUUCAGCAGAAUAUAUCGGCCAUAGACAUCGUUAUUGAAAUAUGCGAUUGGAUAAGAAGUCAGCAUGCUACCUCAACAUAAAACAUAGAGACAUUACAAUGGAACAUCAAAGCGAAUAGUCGGUUUGCACCAGAUCAAAACAACAAUAUAUAAUCCAUACAGCAUCGCUUUUUUUAACGAUGAAAAUUUCUGCCUUUUGAUGUCAAAACUAAACUAUUGGUUAUUACCGAGUUGUGAGUUAAAGUGUCAGAAAAGGAACCACUAGGCAAAGUAUUUCCUUCGAUUGGCACAACAACACGAGUUGAUGUAGGUGGGCUUACUGACCAUCCACACAGGGAGUGCUGCCAUUGAGGCUGCGGUGUGUGGUUGGCUAAUUAGCCACCAAGUCGAGAUACAGACUUAACCAUAACCUUCUACGUUUUUUCAGCAGAAUAUGUCGGCCAUGGACAUCGGUAUUGAACUGAAGUUAAAAGUGGCCCGCCAUUACAAAUCCAACAAGCAACAGAUCUAGAAACUUCGAUAAUCAAAUAUAUCAUAGCAAGAUGUUUACCACGAAAAUAGGAGGGGGAAGGGGAUUACCCAGACGAAAUCCACCGGUGAAGUUUUUUUCUUCAAUAGGAACUGCUACGGUAGCCAAGGACGGGGUGGCAACAGACAGCUCCGGAGCUGGGAGCGGCGGCUAGGGUUUUAAAGUUGGCCUAGCGAAUUAGGGUUCCUUCGAUGUUACUCGAACACUUCAUGCAUCGCUCUCGU
RNAcentral lists this long non-coding RNA (962 nucleotides) under Zea mays. Its description in RNAcentral is "long non-coding RNA (ZMAY_LNC002308)". Lineage: Eukaryota; Viridiplantae; Streptophyta; Magnoliopsida; Poales; Poaceae. The record is from RNAcentral.